Molecule: ribosomal RNA, 343 nt
Filed under: uncultured cyanobacterium
Lineage: Bacteria; Bacillati; Cyanobacteriota
Description: bacterial SSU rRNA
Rfam family: Bacterial small subunit ribosomal RNA
Source: RNAcentral
GGGUUGNAAACCUCUUUUCUGGGGGACGAAAGCUGACGGUACCCCAGGAAUAAGCCUCGGCUAACUCCGUGCCAGCAGCCGCGGUAAGACGGAGNANGNAAGCGUUAUCCGGAAUUAUUGGGCGUAAAGGGUACGUAGGCGGCUGGUCAAGUCUGGGGUCAAAGGCCACAGCUCAACUGUGGGAAGGCCCUGGAAACUGACCGGCUAGAGUGAGGUAGGGGUUGCGGGAAUUCCCGGUGUAGCGGUGAAAUGCGUANAUAUCGGGAAGAACACCUGCGGCGAAAGCGCGCAACUGGGCCUUUACUGACACUGAGGGACGAAAGCUAGGGGAGCGAAUGGGAUU